This 1000-nucleotide ribosomal RNA is filed under the name Sphingobacterium multivorum. RNAcentral's name for it is "bacterial SSU rRNA". It matches the Rfam family "Bacterial small subunit ribosomal RNA", at positions 50 to 1045 of the family's 1533-position model. Lineage: Bacteria; Pseudomonadati; Bacteroidota; Sphingobacteriia; Sphingobacteriales; Sphingobacteriaceae. The record is from RNAcentral.
AAUACAUGCAAGUCGGACGGGAUCCAUCGGAGAGCUUGCUCGAAGAUGGUGAGAGUGGCGCACGGGUGCGUAACGCGUGAGCAACCUACCUCUAUCAGGGGGAUAGCCUCUCGAAAGAGAGAUUAACACCGCAUAAUAUAUCUGAUUGGCAUCAGUUGGAUAUUAAAUAUUUAUAGGAUAGAGAUGGGCUCGCGUGACAUUAGCUAGUUGGUAGGGUAACGGCUUACCAAGGCGACGAUGUCUAGGGGCUCUGAGAGGAGAAUCCCCCACACUGGUACUGAGACACGGACCAGACUCCUACGGGAGGCAGCAGUAAGGAAUAUUGGUCAAUGGGCGGAAGCCUGAACCAGCCAUGCCGCGUGCAGGAUGACUGCCCUAUGGGUUGUAAACUGCUUUUGUCCAGGAAUAAACCUAAAUACGAGUAUUUAGCUGAAUGUACUGGAAGAAUAAGGAUCGGCUAACUCCGUGCCAGCAGCCGCGGUAAUACGGAGGAUCCGAGCGUUAUCCGGAUUUAUUGGGUUUAAAGGGUGCGUAGGCGGCCUAUUAAGUCAGGGGUGAAAUACGGUGGCUCAACCAUCGCAGUGCCUUUGAUACUGAUGGGCUUGAAUCCAUUUGAAGUGGGCGGAAUAAGACAAGUAGCGGUGAAAUGCAUAGAUAUGUCUUAGAACUCCGAUUGCGAAGGCAGCUCACUAAGCUGGUAUUGACGCUGAUGCACGAAAGCGUGGGGAUCGAACAGGAUUAGAUACCCUGGUAGUCCACGCCCUAAACGAUGAUAACUCGAUGUUGGCGAUAGACAGCCAGCGUCUUAGCGAAAGCGUUAAGUUAUCCACCUGGGGAGUACGCCCGCAAGGGUGAAACUCAAAGGAAUUGACGGGGGCCCGCACAAGCGGAGGAGCAUGUGGUUUAAUUCGAUGAUACGCGAGGAACCUUACCCGGGCUUGAAAGUUAGUGAAGAGAGCAGAGACGGACUCGUCCUUCGGGACACGAAACUAGUGCUGCA